CCUACGGGAGGCAGCAGUGAGGAAUAUUGGUCAAUGGACGAGAGUCUGAACCAGCCAAGUAGCGUGAAGGAUGACUGCCCUAUGGGUUGUAAACUUCUUUUAUAUGGGAAUAAAACGUUCCACGUGUGGGAUUUUGUAUGUACCAUAUGAAUAAGGAUCGGCUAACUCCGUGCCAGCAGCCGCGGUAAUACGGAGGAUCCGAGCGUUAUCCGGAUUUAUUGGGUUUAAAGGGAGCGUAGGUGGAUUGUUAAGUCAGUUGUGAAAGUUUGCGGCUCAACCGUAAAAUUGCAGUUGAAACUGGCAGUCUUGAGUACAGUAGAGGUGGGCGGAAUGCGUGGUGUAGCGGUGAAAUGCUUAGAGAUCACGAAGAACUCCGAUUGCGAAGGCAGUUCACUGGACUGCAACUGACACUGAGGCUCGAAAGUGUGGGUAUCAAACAGGAUUAGAUACCCUUGUAGUC
Molecule: ribosomal RNA, 460 nt
Filed under: uncultured bacterium
Lineage: Bacteria
Description: partial 16S ribosomal RNA
Rfam family: Bacterial small subunit ribosomal RNA
Source: RNAcentral